RNAcentral lists this long non-coding RNA (922 nucleotides) under Numida meleagris (helmeted guineafowl). RNAcentral describes it as "lncRNA (ENSNMEG00000023118.1)". Lineage: Eukaryota; Metazoa; Chordata; Aves; Galliformes; Numididae. The record is from RNAcentral.
AGAUACCACGAUGAUUUGGCAAGAAGAUGUGGUCCCAAAAAGUGUGCCUGCAUUUGCUGCUGUGGAAACAUGGCGUGGCUUCCCUUACUUUGCAAUGUAGAGAGCUUUUGGCUGCACAUGAAGACAGAAGUUUUGGCUUCUCUGAACUUAAGAAUAUUAAGGUCCUGCAAGUAGAACAUGCCAAAGACUUCCUCACUGCUGAAAUCCAUUGCCUGAAGAUAGGAAUUGCUCAGCAGGUCCCCCCCCGUGCUGCGGAUGGGCACGAGCAGCACAGAGCCCUGUGCUCGUUCAUUUUCCUUGUGCUGCAAGGAGGCCCGAAGUGCUCUGCAAAGAGGAAUCCCGCUGCACUCGCUCUGCUCAGAGAGAAGCAAAAUGCCAGGGUCACCUUUGCUGCUGGAUCUGUGCUUAUGUCAAGAGAUCAGCCUUCUGAGAAAAGAUAAAGGAAUGCAUGUCAGCUGAUGUGGUUUCCCGGAAGUGAUUCUUUUCCUCCUGUUCUUCCAGCCCUGUGUACGGGGGAGGCUGUCCCGUUCCCCACGUUAUUGGCAGCAUAGGUGCACCUUAGAACAAAGUAGCAGGGACUAAGCAGUGAGUGUGGUGCGUCUGGUCUGCAUCUUCUCUUGUCAUCUCAGGUUUGUGCAAGCAUUUGCUAUAUGUAGAUCCAUCAGCCUAGACUGUGCUUAUCCCAGCAUUACCAGCAGUAGGGAAAAGUGUAUUUCCUCUCUUGAAGGAGAGGUGGAAUAGCAUUCUUGAAGUUCAGGUCUGUGCUUUCCUAGUUACAGAAGUGGAAAUUGGGUCUUCCUGGAGGGAAGUUAUGAUUGGAGGUCUGUGACUUGGAUUCUGAAGCAAUGGGUGAGUUCAGUCCUUUUUUUAUGUUAUAGAUGAAAGUUUUUAGGAUUUCAUCAAAGGUGCUUAGCAUGCUGGC